AACCAUAGAAACCUGCGGAGUACCUGCGGAGGGAUCAUUAAAGAUUGACCGAAAGGUCUUAUCUCUAUAUCCCUCACCUCUGUGAACUGUGGACCUCCGGGUCUAUUUAACAAACAUCAGUGUAAUGAACGUAUAUAUCAUUAAACAAAACAAAACUUUUAACAAUGGAUCU
RNAcentral lists this unclassified non-coding RNA (172 nucleotides) under soil metagenome. Its description in RNAcentral is "partial contains 5.8S ribosomal RNA, internal transcribed spacer 2, and large subunit ribosomal RNA". The record is from RNAcentral.